Molecule: long non-coding RNA, 385 nt
Filed under: Lupinus angustifolius (narrow-leaved blue lupine)
Lineage: Eukaryota; Viridiplantae; Streptophyta; Magnoliopsida; Fabales; Fabaceae
Description: long non-coding RNA (LANG_LNC000056)
Source: RNAcentral
GUUGACUACCCGAAUUUGGUGGUAAACCACGACGAAGCCCGAUUAGGAUUUAACCCGGGUUCUAGGCGUGGUGGUCGCUAGCCACCCUCGCCGUUAGGUUGCCCUCUCAGACUUGCAGCGAGCUACCCGUAGGAAACAAGGGACAGUGGCCUUGGAAACUCGUGUCUCUUGGCACUGUGCUGCCAGCCACCAGCCGCCGCAUGACCACCAUGGUAGGCGAUGGCCUAAGCGCCUCUAGGCACCACCACAGGGGGAUGCUCCUCAUGAAACCUCCUCUAUGCAGCUAUUUUGCGACUAACCGUCAUUGUCCAAAGAUCUGGUAAUUGUGUCGUCGAGCCUCAUGGCAGCCUAAUGUUGUAGUCGGUAAUGGCUGUGUAUCCAGCCA